This 1529-nucleotide ribosomal RNA is filed under the name Klebsiella pneumoniae. RNAcentral describes it as "bacterial SSU rRNA". It matches the Rfam family "Bacterial small subunit ribosomal RNA". Lineage: Bacteria; Pseudomonadati; Pseudomonadota; Gammaproteobacteria; Enterobacterales; Enterobacteriaceae. The record is from RNAcentral.
AGAGUUUGAUCAUGGCUCAGAUUGAACGCUGGCGGCAGGCCUAACACAUGCAAGUCGAGCGGUAGCACAGAGAGCUUGCUCUCGGGUGACGAGCGGCGGACGGGUGAGUAAUGUCUGGGAAACUGCCUGAUGGAGGGGGGAUAACUACUGGAAACGGUAGCUAAUACCGCAUAACGUCGCAAGACCAAAGUGGGGGACCUUCGGGCCUCAUGCCAUCAGAUGUGCCCAGAUGGGAUUAGCUAGUAGGUGGGGUAACGGCUCACCUAGGCGACGAUCCCUAGCUGGUCUGAGAGGAUGACCAGCCACACUGGAACUGAGACACGGUCCAGACUCCUACGGGAGGCAGCAGUGGGGAAUAUUGCACAAUGGGCGCAAGCCUGAUGCAGCCAUGCCGCGUGUGUGAAGAAGGCCUUCGGGUUGUAAAGCACUUUCAGCGGGGAGGAAGGCGGUGAGGUUAAUAACCUCAUCGAUUGACGUUACCCGCAGAAGAAGCACCGGCUAACUCCGUGCCAGCAGCCGCGGUAAUACGGAGGGUGCAAGCGUUAAUCGGAAUUACUGGGCGUAAAGCGCACGCAGGCGGUCUGUCAAGUCGGAUGUGAAAUCCCCGGGCUCAACCUGGGAACUGCAUUCGAAACUGGCAGGCUAGAGUCUUGUAGAGGGGGGUAGAAUUCCAGGUGUAGCGGUGAAAUGCGUAGAGAUCUGGAGGAAUACCGGUGGCGAAGGCGGCCCCCUGGACAAAGACUGACGCUCAGGUGCGAAAGCGUGGGGAGCAAACAGGAUUAGAUACCCUGGUAGUCCACGCCGUAAACGAUGUCGAUUUGGAGGUUGUGCCCUUGAGGCGUGGCUUCCGGAGCUAACGCGUUAAAUCGACCGCCUGGGGAGUACGGCCGCAAGGUUAAAACUCAAAUGAAUUGACGGGGGCCCGCACAAGCGGUGGAGCAUGUGGUUUAAUUCGAUGCAACGCGAAGAACCUUACCUGGUCUUGACAUCCACAGAACUUAGCAGAGAUGCUUUGGUGCCUUCGGGAACUGUGAGACAGGUGCUGCAUGGCUGUCGUCAGCUCGUGUUGUGAAAUGUUGGGUUAAGUCCCGCAACGAGCGCAACCCUUAUCCUUUGUUGCCAGCGGUCCGGCCGGGAACUCAAAGGAGACUGCCAGUGAUAAACUGGAGGAAGGUGGGGAUGACGUCAAGUCAUCAUGGCCCUUACGACCAGGGCUACACACGUGCUACAAUGGCAUAUACAAAGAGAAGCGACCUCGCGAGAGCAAGCGGACCUCAUAAAGUAUGUCGUAGUCCGGAUUGGAGUCUGCAACUCGACUCCAUGAAGUCGGAAUCGCUAGUAAUCGUAGAUCAGAAUGCUACGGUGAAUACGUUCCCGGGCCUUGUACACACCGCCCGUCACACCAUGGGAGUGGGUUGCAAAAGAAGUAGGUAGCUUAACCUUCGGGAGGGCGCUUACCACUUUGUGAUUCAUGACUGGGGUGAAGUCGUAACAAGGUAACCGUAGGGGAACCUGCGGUUGGAUCACCU